RNAcentral lists this long non-coding RNA (28983 nucleotides) under Malus domestica (apple). Its description in RNAcentral is "long non-coding RNA (MDOM_LNC009402)". Lineage: Eukaryota; Viridiplantae; Streptophyta; Magnoliopsida; Rosales; Rosaceae. The record is from RNAcentral.
UUUUUUUUUCUUUUUUUGCGGUACAGAGAAUCCUUAAUAUCCUAAACAACACACGGCUUUGAAACUUCACAUAGUUGUAAGUCUAACAAUUCAAAUUGAUAGUGUCAGAUGAAUAUUCUAUUGCCAUUUGUUCUAGUUAGCAGCUUAGGAGGUUUGAACCAUAUUUAGCCCGGCUAGGAUAGGCGGACUACUGACAUGGGGACAAGGCUCCCUAAUUCAGAAAUCCAGCUCACCUCUGGCUUUUGGAAAGAUUAUACAGCCUAAAGAAUUAUGGAUUGUAACAUUAAAACCUGAGCUCUGCGCCAUCUGAGUGGUGGCUCCAAACUUCGACCACGAGUAUGAUUACUUCUAUCCCAGAUCAGCGUACUAAAUGAAGUAUGUUCUGCGACACCAUGUGUCCAAUGAAGGUCCAAAGAGGCAUCCAAACUAGGAAAUCCUCAAGAAGAAUUUUAUUAGAGUGAAACUCCGAUAAGCAGAAGUGCCUUGGCCAAGCCAACUAAGUGUAGUCUGGUCAGAAAUGCUCAGGUCCGUAAUGAAUUUUCAUUUAAUCUUUAUUAGGGAAGAACAUACAAUUUGAAGUGGGAAGGAAGCCCGUUCUUGGUACCACGCUGCGACUAUUAAAAUCCUUAUACCUAGAAUCGGGUAAGGUAAAUGAACAAAUGGGCAUAAGGUUAUGAUUAAAAGAAGAACUCUAAUAUGACACCAAGAACUAAAGACCAAUCUAGGUAUAACUCGACACUUUCUCAUCCUUAAUUCGAUCAAUGCAUUAAGGCAAGUUCGGAGCAAAAGCUUUUCAUGGGCCUGAUAUUUGGUGUCAGAGUAAAGUGGUACUCCGACUAUCGCAGUUAAAAUGUUCAUAAACACUAAGUUUAAGAGGUAAUGUAUUUCUGAAGAUGCAAACAAGACCUCGGUUUAAUCCAAUAUAGCUUUCUAGCGAUAGCAAUGCUAGAGAUGGAUUUAUGUUGGAUUGUAUUGGGAAGAACAAUGGAAAUUCAAAAAAAGAGCUGAACUAGACCAAUGAGACCAACCCAAGCAGCUACUCGCAUCCUAGCCGCCUCACCUGCUUUAGCGCCAAGCGACUCCCCUACGCGCUCCAGAGAGCACCGCAAGCAACCAUGGGCCAGGCCUAUUGGCGUAGCCUCGUUCCAACCCAGUAUAAGUUUCGACAUCAGCUCUAGUGGAGGCCAACGGCACCUUGUGAUGUUGCCCCGUUAAGCGUGAUGAAAACAAGGAAGGGAAGAAGAAGAAAGUAACAAUUUCAUACCUAGGAUUUUUCUCUAUGCGAGUCAUGAAUUUUAAAAAUAAGGAAUUUGUGAAAAUUCAAGCAAGGUUAUCCUAUUUAUACUAAAUCCUUAUGGUAAAGAAAAAGGAAAACUUUUUCUUACUAAGACUUGAAGAUCUACCUUGUCUUGGAAGAAAAUUCUAUGCAAAUAGGAAGUACAUCUCAUUUUGUUUCCUAUUUAACACAAACUGAUGUGGGGGCAUUUGUGGAGACAUAAAUUAACCACAUCCAAUAGGAAAAGGAUACGUGGACAAGACUCAGAAGAAAAUUUCAGAGCUAACAUUGAAGAACUACUUAAUCAGGGGCAUUGCUGGCUAAGAAAAAGCCAAAUGAGUACUGCUCCUUCCACUAGUGCAUCGACCACACAUGCUAUUGGCCUCCACAAGAGCUGAUGUCGCAACUUAUACUGAGUUGGAAUGAGGUUAGGCCAAUAGGCCUGGGCCAUCGUUGCUUGCGGUGCUCUCUAGAGUGCGCAGGGGAGUCGCUUGGCUUUAAAGCAAAUGAGGCGGCUAGGAUGCGGGUAGCUGAUUAGGUUGGUUUAAUUGGGCUAGUUCAGCUACAAUUUUUUUUCUUUCUUUUUUUGAAUUUCCACUGCUUUUCCCAAUACAAUCCAACAUCAAUCCAUCUCUAGCAUUGCUAUCGCCAGAAAGCUUUAUUGGAUUAAACUGAAGUCUUGUUUGCAUCAGCAGAAAGACAUUACCUCUAGUGUUAUGAACAUAUUAAUUGCGAUAGUUGGAGUACCACCUUACUUUGACACCGGAUAUCAAACCCAUGAAAAGCUUUUGCUUUGAACUUGCCUUAAUGCAUUGAUUAGAUUAAGGAUGAGAAAGUGUCGAGUUGUAUCUAGAAUGGUCUCUAGUUCUUGGUGUCAUACUAGAGUUCUUUUUUUAAUCAUAACCCAUUUGUUCGUUCACCUUGCCCCAUUUCGAGUAUAAGGAUUUUAAUAGUCGGAAAGUGCUACCAAGAAGGGACAUCCUUCCCACUUCAAAUUGCAUGUUCUUCCCUAAAAAAUAUUAAAUGAAAAUUCAUUAGGGACCUGGUUGCUUGCAUACAGGUUGGAAAACACCUUUGGAAUCCUUUUGUCAGGAUUUAUGUGUUGGACCUGAGCAUUUAUGACCAGACUACACUUAAUUGGCUUGGCCAAGGCACUUCCGCUUAUUGGAGUUUCACACUAAUAAAAUUCUUCUUGAGGACUUCCUAUGCCUCUUUCGGACCUGCAUUAGACACAUGGAGUUGCAUAACAUACUUGAUUUAAUACGCUGAUUUGGGAUAAAAGUAAUCAUACUUGUGGUCGGAGUUUAGAGCCACCACUCGGAUGGCGCAGAGCCCAGGUUUUAAUGUUACAAUCCACAAUUCUUUAGGUUGUAUAAUAUUUCCAGAGGCUAGAUGGUGAGCUGGACUUUUGAAUCAGGGAUCCUUGUCCCCAUGUUAGUAGUCCUCCUAUUCUAACCGGGCUAAAUAUGGUUCGAACCUACUAAGCUACUAACUGGAACACCACAAAAUGGCAAUAGAAGACUCAUUUGACACUAUCGAUUUGAAUUUUUAGACUUACAAUUAUGUGAAGUUUUAAAGUCGUGUGUUAUUUAGGAUGUUAGGGAUUCUCUGUACAACAAAAAAAAGGAAAAAAAAAAAGAAGACAAAAGUUGCACAAUAAUCACAUUUAAAUUUUAUUAAUAAAAGAAUAGGAUUCGAUAGAGGUGUGAUUGAAUCCCAAUCGGACUGCCUACAUAUUUAUAGGAAGGGGAACCAAAUCAUGGGUGUAGAUCUAGUAAAAGAUGAUAUAACGUGUGUUUACAUUAGGGAUCAUCUUUGACGAAUAGCUUAUUGUGGGGAGUUAAGGAGAUGAGUUCUCCAUGGACUUGUCUUUGCGUGGACAGUGGUGUUGAAUAUAAUGGUUGAAUCCAAAAUGGACGGCCUACAUAUCUCCUCAUAUAAUCGAAGCAUCAAACCACUUAAAGUUUAGAUUAGGGUCUUUAGUGUUGUCAGCGAUACUUGAGGACGUUCCACCUUAAGGUGAUUAGAGUCCCCUUCCUUGGUUCAAGAUUCCCAACUUUCUUGCUUUCUGGCUCAUAGAUGCAAUUAAUGCUAAGGCUAGGCUUCUUUGCCGGGCAUCGAUCUUCCUCAUCAUCAAUGAGCUCUUGUCAUCCAGAUUUGCCUUGGUCUUUCCUCUCAGCGGGUUUCUCCUUCCUGGCUUUGCUUUUGACGAACUCCCAGCAAUGCCCCUGAUUAAGUAGUUCUUCAAUGUUAGCUCUCAGCGUGUGGCAACUCCACCUUGUGCUGCUGCCCUGUUAAGUGUGAUGAAAUCGAGGAAGGAAAAAGAAGAAAGUAACAAUUUCAUACCUAGGAUUUUUCUCUGUGCGAGUCAGGAAUUUUAAAAGUAAGGAAUUUGUGAAAAUUCAAGCAAGGUUAUCCUAUUUAUACUAAAUCCUUGUGGUAAAGAAAAAGGAAAACUUUUUCUUACUAAGACCUGAAGAUCUACCUUGUCUUGGAAGAAAAUUCUAUGCAAAUAGGAAGUACAUAUCAUUUUGUUUCCUAUUUAAACACAACUUGAUGUGGGGGCAUAUGUGGAGACAUAAAUUAACCACAUCUAAUAAGAAAAUGAUAUGUGGACUAGGCGCUCACCAUGACGGUUCUACCCUUAACGUCGUGAGCAGGCAAUAGAUUACAUCAAGAGAGUUUGAGACUUGUCUGCCCUGUGGGUAAUAGGCCUUUGAGCCACUAACAUAUCAAAGGCGAUUUGGGUGCAUGAUAUGUCUUGCCACCAGGCCACACUCGGGCCUAAUGGUGUCAGGAAGCAGACUCUCUAGAGUCUUCUUUUGGGUGUCUGGCGCGCCUACGCUCUUACCGACAUGAAACUCAAGACUACUAGCUGGCAGGACUAUGAAAACUGAAUUGUACCUUCAAAGACUGCCUAGAAUGGUCUGCAACUUCCCUUCACAAUUGCCUGCUAGGGUUAAGUUCUUUAUAAACAGCCAAGUCAAACACAAGGAAACGACAAUCGUCAUUUAAUCCUCAUAACCUUCUCAAGUUCUUAAUUUCUCUCAAACUAUUAUGACUUAUGCAUAAAGGUCAUUUGUCGGAUCUUUUUCUCUAGAUGUUCAUCAAUGAGGCUAAUGAUGUUUAUUCUUUUGUAGGUGAAAUUUUGUCAAAUCGGUCAUGGACCCAUAUACAAAUUUUGCAUCCACACUUACCACGUCUUUCAUGCCACACUUAUACGUACCAUCUCUCUAAUACAGAUGUGACUCAUAUGCUUGGUGAGCCUUACCUCUAUUAGAAAUAUAGUAAAAGUGAUAUGAACAUGUAUUUUCACAAUACUUGGGUACUAACUGAUCAGUACUCAUUUUACUCAUGAAGUGGCCCAAUAAAACGAAGAAAAAUGUACUUUUAAACACUCAUUAUUCUGGUAGCCACACCCCUUUAAUCUCCUAACCAAACACCAAUAUUAUCUCUGAUCCACCAACAACUGAAGAAAAUUAAAACCAACAGAAAACUCAAUGGACUGAUCCAUCAUAGAUAUUAAUUUAAUCCUCACCAUAAUUUAUAUCUUGUACAAACACAUAGUUUGAUUCCUAUGCAAAACAUAAUAGGCAAUACCACAAUUGACAAAGGAGAAGAAUGAUGAAAGCUAUAAAAUAAAAAUAAAAAAUCCCAAAUUAUUGACCAUGGACAACUUGAGCAGCGGUGUCACAGCCCGUCUCGGAGAAGUAUAUUAUUUAAUUAUCGACGAUGUGAAAUUACCUAAAUACCCUUGGACGUUGAGAAUUAUAUUGGAGUGUUGUGGUUUUGACUUAAGGUUGUGGACCUAUUAGUUAUAUUCCUCUAUUAUUGGACCCAAUUAGAACUAAGUGUUCUCUUAGUUUUGAUUGGUGGCUUUUGGACCACACACACACCCACCUACCCUCUCUCUCCUCUCGUUCCCGUGCUCUCUCUCUCUCUCUCUCUCUCUCAGAUUCACUCUCUCUCUUCUCUCUUGUACGGACACAACCAGAAACCCUUGCAAACGUGACAGAUCGAAGAAGAAAAUGGUACCAUUGUGUUCCUAAGGUCCUCACGAGUUUAAAGGUACCAAAUAUAGGUAAGAUUACCUUCGAUUUCACGUCGAACCACAAAAACCGAUUUGAGGUACUAUUCAUGCUCACGUAAAAACUUAUGUUUUAGGGAAAUUUAAACUCAUAGGGAGCUUAAGGAGGUCCUUACGAAGCUCGGAGUAUUUCGUUUGAAGAAAUUGGAUGUCGGAAUCAUGAGAACGAAGAGUUUUAAAUUUGGCCGGAAUUAUCGAGGCUUUUUUCCGACGAAUUUCUGACGAGUUGGAGGUCGGGGCAGGUAUGGUUUUGUUUGUCUUGUUGAGAUCUUUAAAAUGGUACAAAUUUCAUAGAAAAUGGUGCAAAAAUGAAGAAGUUAUGAAGGUUUUUCGAUUUCCCAGUUUUCCGGCAACGGCGAGGAGUCCGGCGAGCAAUCGGAGAAGACGAGUGAAUAUUCCGUCAGAGUUGACGGAAUAUUCUGACGCCGUCAGGUAAACUUAACUGAAUCCAUUAGCUUUUAACAAAAUAUUCCACAGAAUAUUCCUAACGGGGUUAGAGAAUCUGUCAGGAUUCCUUGCGCGUGGCCGCGAGUAUUGCCGUGCACUCGCCGGCGCGUGGCGAUGCGUGCGGGGUCAGAAAAUUAUUUUACAAAUUCCUGGGUGAUCGUGACAUUGUGUAGGUCACUGUGGUAUAUUCAUAUACCCAAUUUGAGCUAUGUAUGAGAAGUUAUUACAUAGUUUGAUAUAUGUGCAUUAAAGUGACGUUUAUAUAGUUGCUUUUCCUAUAGGCGAGACCUAUCCGGAGGACGAGCGUAGCCAGGCUAGGCAUGGGGGUUACGACCCGGCUUCAUAUCUAUGAGUGGGCAGUUAUUUUCAGUCUAUAUAUAUAUACUUGACGUUUUUCCCAGAAAACGUAUUUAAGGAAAUGUGAUUUAAAUGUUAUGCUAUGCCUAUAUUUUAUUUUAGUAUAUGCAUUAUCAUAAUUUUGCAUAUUGUUGCAUGGUGCUGUGGAGGCUCAGGUAAAUUCAGGUAAGUUAUGUUUGGUUAUGUGAAUCAUCGAUGAUGUGAUAUGUGAUUGAAUACUGUUGAGCUCAUAAAACUGCACCUAGGGUGAUUGUGAUUUAGCCAGAGAUAUGAAGUACAUGCCUGUUUAUUAUGUCACCUCCCGCACCAUAUGCUCAUAUUAGAUCCAAUUUAGGUGCACAGUCUUGUCGUACAGACCUUAUUUAUGGUUCCGACUCGUAGGUGACUAGCGAUUUAUCGCCCGGCUAUUAUGUGAGAGUAGUAUUGGGCAUAAUUAUAUUACACCCAUGAUCGUCGUACAGACCUUUGCAUUUGGUUCCGACUCUUGUGCAGUAUAUUGCCGUAUAGGUCAUUGUAGUGACUCUGGUUAGAUUGACUUUUGAGCUAUGAAUUCAGCUGUACAGACUACCAUAGGGGUUCUGGCUAACAUGUUAUAUUUCUAUGAAACUAUUCUUACCUGAAUUGCUUAUUCUGUUAUAUAUAGGCAUGGCAUACAUACAAAUAUGAAUCUUGAUUUUGAGCAUGAUUUGAGAUAUAUACAUAUUUAUAUAUUCUAUUUUCUAGGAAAGUAUCUAUAUACUUGUUUUACGGCGAGGGGUUAGUAUAUUCAAAGGAAAAUAAGGUUUUUGUGUAAAUGUGUUUUGCUGACCCACUCAACUAUGUUUUUCUCCCCUCCAGGUUUUAGGUAGCAGAGUUUGGUGGCCACGAGGAAUCCAACGGUGCUAUGACAGAAUCCGAAAAGUAGGAUUCACCUUAGGGUGUUGUUGUAUCUUAGUAAUUGUCCUGCUUGACUGCGACUAGAUCUUCUUAUUGCUCUGAAAGUGAAUCUUGAUUUUGCGCACAAGGCUACGUCACGCUCACGUGACGGCCAACACGUCUUGACUUUGGUCAGGUGUGUCAAGCGGAAUGGAGAAGUCAUUGAUGGUGGCUUGCUUCGACGAAGAAGAGAGAUUGAGGGUGAUAUCUGCAGUGUUUGUUGCUAGAAUUGUAUAUAUGUUGGUGUUUGGCUAGAGAGUUAAGAAUGACAAGUUGUAAUUUUAUUGGGCAUCAUAGUCUGGUGAGUAAAAUGUAGUAAGUAUAACAUUACUAAAAAACUAUAACUAAAUGUAGUAGAUAUGUCACGCCCCGGACCCGGGGUCGGUAAUAAAAAAAAUAAAAUACUCAAACUCGAAUUCGAAACAUGAGUUAAAAGCUUAAUAAAUAACCGGAAAUUGAAACGGGUUGGAAAAUAAACUCCUCUUAUUAAAUAGCUCCAAAAUCCUUGCAGGGUGUACAAAAGUAAUAAAUUAAAAUCCUUAAAUUUCUCCUCAAUCACAGCCUCAGCUCUUCUAACACGUCUUGCCAAAUAACUCAUCUGUAAAAUAAUAGGUGAGGGGUGAGCAACAACCACCGUCGCUCAGUGAGUAGAAUAUGUAAUAUGCCAGUCAAGCUUGCCACUUUAAUCACACUAUAAAAUAGGAUAAUAAAAUCAAAGCUUUAGCCACGUAAUUCCAUAUCACAUCGUCCCUUCACAUGUUGAUCAUCUUCUAUCUUCUAUAUAUAUAAAGUGAGAAGCACACAAUGGUGAAGCAUUCUGAAAUGUCAAAAAUGUCCUCAUUUCAUACGUAAGGCUAUUGGAUAACUGCUCAUAAAAAUAGAGUUAAAAACGUAAAAAUAUGGAAUUACAUCUCAAUAAUGAUUCCGACCAUUGGAUCAAAUCACCCACACUUUAAAUUAAUUUUCACCCAUUAGAUUAAGCAUACAGUUACUGCUCCAGAUUAAAAAAAAGGAUAAUCGACCACAACUACUCCAGAUGGAAUCGAAGCACUCCAUAUCAGCAGUUGCAUAGAUUGGAGAUGGAACCGACCUCCAUCGCACGUUCUCGAUCACCACAGUGCAUACAAAAGAGUAAAUUGGGUAAUUUUCUCGAACAAUAUUCUUAUCUAUGCCAAAAUUUUGAAAUGGGUUUUCGCCAGAAAUUUUCACUUUCUGCUUCAAUUCAGGUACUCUGUGCCUAAUUGAAUUGUUCAUAUCUACUAAUGUUUUGAUUUAUUAACUAAUUGCCCACUUUAAUAUAUACUAAUUUGGAGAUUUUUACUUGAUUAUAAUUUGAACUAUUUGAAAUUAUUUAUCUUUACCAGAUUUUGUUAAUGGGUUUUGGACCAAUUUGUAGAAAGCUCUCUCUUUUGUGUAUUGGUUAUUCAGUUUCUGGCUUAAUUUUUGCCAUUCUGGAAUGCCAUGUUGGAAGUUCAAAUCAAAUACAGUAGCCGAAACUAAUGGAACACUUUUCAGAAAUUGUUGGAACACUUUUCAGAAAGUGGUGAAACUAUUUUUAGAAAAGCUACAUGUGUGUGUGCAUCAAAAGGUGGUGCAUGUGUGAAAGGGUGUAAAGAUGGUAAACACCAUCAUUGAUUGCAUGUGUGUGCAUUUGUUUUUAUUAAAAAACACUUGAGUGGUUUGUAACUUUUGCAUGUAUAAUUAAGCCUCUUGUAAGGCUUUAGAAAAAUCCAUCCGAAUUCCCAUUUCCAUUUUAGCUUGUAAGCAAUUGAGUUUGUAAACUCUUAUUAAAUAUAUCAAAGUGUUUGCUUGUUUUCCGUGCAGUUUGUCCAACACAAAAAGUUUGCUUCUUCAUUUAUUUUUUUCUUUGUUUAAUUGUAUUGAGAGUGAUAGUGAGAUGUAUGAUAAAGUUAGAAAACUUAUCACCCAAAUAUUUUUGGUAUUGAGUUAGUCAACUUUGAAAUACCAACAAUUGGUAUCAGAGCCAGAUUACCGUUCUGGCAAGUGCAGUAGCUAUGGCAUCUAACUUAGUGCAGCUCCAGGUUCCAACAUUGAAGAAAGAAAAUUAUGAAAGAUGGUGCAUCUAGUUCAAAACAUUGUUUGGAUCACAGGACCUAUGGGAAGUUGUCAGUAAUGGGUAUGAUGAACCCACUACUGAGCAAGAAGCUGCCUACACUGCAGAUCAAAGGAAUACUCUCAAGGACUUACGAAAGAAUGACAAGAAGGUGAUGUACCUUCUAUAUCAAGGAUUAGAAGAUUCAACGUUCGAGAAGAUUGCAGAAGCAACAACCAGCAAGCAAGUUUGGUACACUUUGAGCACAAUUUACCAAGGAGUAGAUCGAGUAAAAAGAGUUCGGCUUCAAUCAUUAAGAGCAGAUUUUGAGGCUGCUCAUAUGAAAGAAGGAGAAAACAUUUCAGACUACUACUCUCGACUACUUGUAAUUGUGAAUCAAAUGAAAAGGAAUGGCGAGAAGCUUGACGAUGUUCGUGUCAUGGAGAAAAUCCUUCGGUCACUCACAUCCAACUUUGAGCUUGUGGUGACUGCCAUUGAGGAAUCCAAGAAUUUGGAGACGAUGAGUGCAGAGGAACUGCUAGGAUCCCUCCUAGUUCAUGAACAACGCAUUCAGAAGAAUGCAAGCCCCACAACGCUAGAGCAAGCUUUGGAGUCAAAGUUGAAUAUUGACAAACCAAAUGGAGGUCGUGGACAGUGGAAUUCACGUCAUGGAAGCUCAUCCAAUCAUAGCCGAGGACGAGGCCGAGGAAGAGGUUGAGGCUAUGCACAAAACCGAGGUCAAUCUCAAUAGUGGAGAUCUACUUGAGGAAAGGCGCAUAUCCAGUGUCACAGUUGCAAGCAAUAUGGACAUUAUGCCAAUGAAUGUUCAUAUAAAAAUGGUGAGCAUGUCAACAUGGCAGAAUCAAGUGGAAAUGCUGGUGAGGAAUUUACAGUCUUACUAGCACACCAUGAUAUCAGUAGCCAACAAGAUGUUUGGUAUUUGGACUCUGGUGCAAGCAACCACAUGUAUGGAAAGAAAGAGUUUUUUGCUGAACUCAAAGAUGGGCCUUAUGGAUCUAUAAGUCUUGGUGACUCCCCAAAGUUGCCAGUUGAAGGCAAAGGAAAGAUCAAAAUCAUCUAGAAGGAUGGUAGAGAAGAAUACAUCUCUGAUACCUACUACAUACCAUGUAUGAAAAGCAACAUUCUGAGCAUUGGUCAAUUGUUCCAGAAAGGGUAUGUUAUACAUAUGGAGAAUAUGCUUCUCACUCUCAGGAAUGCAAGGAGAAAGCUUAUUGCAAGUGUUCAAAUGUCAAAGAACUGAAUGUUCCCGUUGAAGUUGAACACAAAGAUUGGAAGCUGCAACAUUGGUGUGAUAGAAGAUGAGUCAUGGAAAUGGCAUCUUCGGUUUGGCCAUCUUCAUUUCAAUGGCCUAAAGUUAUUGUCAAGUGGAGAAAUGGUUCGUGGUCUACCCCAGAUUGAAGCCACACACCAAGUAUGUGAAGGUUGUGUGCUUGGCAAACAAGCACGAUCAUCGUUCCCUGUUGGUGAUAUAUGGAGAGCAAAGGCACCACUGCAGUUAAUGCACACGGAUAUAUGUGGUCCGUUGGAUCCUAUGUCCUAUGGAGGUAAUAGGUAUUUUAUUACCUUCAUUGAUGAUUUUAGUAGGAAGACUUGGGUUUAUUUUCUCAAGGAGAAGUCGGCUACCCUAAGAAUCUUCAAUGAGUUUAAGGCACUCACAGAAGCUGAAAGCAACCACAAGCUUGUGGCUGUGAGAUCAGAUAGAGGUGGAGAGUACACCUCAAAUGCUUUCCAAGCAUAUUACAAGGAGUAAGGAAUUAGGCAUCAACUGAUUGCUGCCUAUACCCCACAACAAAAUGGGAUAGCCGAAAGAAAGAAUCAAACCAUCCUUGACAUAACAAGGUCUAUGCUUAAAGAGAAGAAUUUGCCAAAAGAAUUGUGGGUAGAAGCUGUAGCUUAUUCGAUUUAUUUGUUGAAUCGAUGUCCAACAAAGAGUGUCAAGAGGAUGACACCACAAGAGGCUUGGAGUGGAUACAAGCCGAAUGUUGCACACUGCAUAUGCUCAAGUUCAAGAAGCCAAGAGGAGGAAACUCGAUGAUAGAGGUGAGAAGUGUGUGUUCGUGGGCUAUAGUGGAAAGUCCAAGGCAUAUAAGCUUUACAACCCACUAACUGGAAAAUUAGUGGUUAGUAGAGAUGUCAUCUUCAGUGAGGAAGAGGCAUAGAAGUGGAACAACAAAGAAGUUAGUAAAGAGAAGAUUGUUUCCACUGAUUUUGAAGAACCAGAAGUUGUACCACUUAUUAAGCAACAACCUGCUCAAUCAAUCACAACAACUCCAUUGCACAGAAUUGCAAGGAGUGGUCAUACUUCCAGUGAAGAAAGCAGCUCCUCAACUCCAGUGAGGCUAAGAAGUCUCAUUGAGAUAUAUGGACAAGAAAGAGAAGAAGAAACCAACCUUUUCUACUUGUAUGCAGACCAUGAGCCUCUCUCAUUCAAUGAAGUUAUGGAAGAAGAUCGUUGGAGAAUAGCCAUGGAGGAAGAAAUCCAUGCCAUCGAGAAGAAUCACACUUGGGAGUUAACAAAGCUCCCACCAAAUCAGAAGGCUAUUGGUGUCAAGUGGGUCUAUAAGAUCAAACGCACUGCAAAUGGGAGUGUGGAUCGAUACAAAUCAAGGCUUGUAGCGAAGGGCUACAAACAGAAGUAUGGAAUGGACUAUGAUGAAGUCUAUGCUCCAGUUGCAAGACUUGACAUGGUAAGAUUGCUAAUCUCUCUUGCCGCUCAUCAUAAAUGGAAAAUUUAUCAACUAGAUGUCAAGUCAGCCUUCUUAAUGGAGUACUUGAGGAAGAAGUGUACGUGGAACAACCAAAAGGAUUCCAAGUACAAGGAGAAGAAGAAAAGGUGUAUCGUUUGAAGAAGGCUUUGUAUGGCCCCAAGCAAGCACCACGAGCUUGGAACUCAAGGAUUGAUAACUACCUUCACCAAAAUGGAUUUCAGAAAUGUCCAUACGAGCAUUCAGUUUACAUGAAGAAUGGUACAAAAGGGGAGUUCUUAAUUAUUUGUCUCUAUGUAGAUGACUUGUUGUUUACAGGAAACAAUGAAGCAAUGUUCCAUGAGUUCAAGCAAUCCAUGUUCAGUGAAUUUGAGAUGACUGACAAUGGAUUAAUGUCAUACUUUCUUGGCAUAGAGGUGAAACAAGAAAGUGAUGGUAUCUACAUCUCUCAACAAAAGUACAUAAGAGAUAUAUUGGAGAAAUUCAAUAUGGACAAGUGCAAUAUUGUCAACACUCUAGUUGCAAUUGGAUUGAAGCUGUCCAAGGAAGGAGAAGGUGAGUUUGUAAACUCAACCGUGUACAAAAGAUUGGUUGGAAGCCUAAGGUACCUUACAAUCAUAAGACCUGAUAUAGUUUAUGGCGUUGGACUCGUGAGUCGGUACAUAGAAACACCAAGGAAGUCUCAUUGGCUGGCCGCCAAGAGAAUUUUGAGGUACAUAAGAGGUACUCUAAACUAUGGUCUGUUUUAUAAUUUUGGUGAAGAUGCAAAAUUAUUUGGUUAUUCAGAUAGUGAUUAGGAAGGUGACCAAGAUGAAAGGAAAAGCACAACUGGUUAUGUGUUUUUUCUAGGAUCAACAACUUUCUCAUGGACUUCAAAGAAGCAAUCAAUUAUUGCUUUGUCAUCGUGUGAAGCCGAAUAUGCUGCUAUAGCCUCAACUGUGUGUGAGGCAAUUUGGUUAAGAAAUCUGUUGAAGUCAGUGUGUCAUCCACAAGUGGAAUCGACUGUGAUUCAUGUGGAUAACAUCUCAGCUAUCAAGCUUGCUAGGAAUCCAGUCCAACAUGGAAGGAGCAAGCAUAUUGAUACCAGGUUCAAUUUUCUGAGGGACCAUCUGAAGCAAAAGACAAUUGAACUUGUCUAUUGUCACAUGAAGGAACAAGUAGUUGAUGUGGAUGCAAAUUUUCUCCUCUUCGAUCUUGGACGAUUUUGCACCUACAAAACAACUAGCACCUUAGGUUAAGGCCAAAAGCCUCACGCGCCCACGAUGAAUGGGGGGGGGCUUUGGCCGAAGAACCUCCGAUGCCAAAGUUAGAAUUUUAGAGAGAAAUAGUGUUUAGAGUGUUUUGGAAUUUUUGCAAGAGAUUUGGAAUGAGUGUUUGGUAAAAAUGGGUGACUAUUUAUAGGACCAAAUUGGUCCACAUCUUCAAGAAAUGGCCGGCCCUUUCUUUGUGCUUUGGGAUGAAUUUGUGGUUUUAUUAGCCACUUUAUUGGCUAAUAAAAUAUAAUAGAAAUAAAUGGGAAGUUACCCAAUUGAAUGACUAGCAUUAUUUGGCUAAUAAAGUGGAAGAAAUUUGAAAAGGUGUGGAGCAAAGAGAGGGAAUGUGGCCGGUCUACUAGGUGGGAUUUUAGGGUUUAUUUUAGGUUUAAUUAGCCAAUUAAUUGGCUAAUUAAAUAUGAAAGGAAAUGUUUUAGUAUUUAUGGUAUUGAUUGGCUAAUUUAAAAGGGAAGGAAAGGUGGAAAAGGUAGAAAAAGGUGAUGGAAUAGGCUUUGAAUGGGGUAGCCGGCCCUAUAUAUCAUUUUUUAGGUUUGAGUGGAUGUUUCAAAUUGAUAAUUAAGGGAUGAUUUUAGGAGAUAUGGGAAGAAUAUAUUAUUUAGAUAAUUAAUUAACUAAAUAAUAUAUUAGGGAAAUUAAGUUUUGGAAAUAAUUACCUAAAAUAAGAUAAUUUGGAAUUGGUUACCUCUUUUGGAGCAUUUUUGAAUUGGUUGAGGAUGAUUACCCACUACUUGCGCGUAGGAAUCCCGGUAUGCCUCAAGGGUAUUUUUGUCCUCUUUCAUUCAAAAGUCCACGUGUCGCCUAGCGAAUAUUUUUGGCUCCACAAAUGCCCCCACACCUGUUGGGCUGCUUGCAAAAAAGGGCAACAGGUGUAGAGAUUUUCUCACUUUAGGCAACUCUGAAUUGAUUUCUAUUUUGUUGUUGAUUCUCUCUUUAAAUGGAAAUUAGAUCCUUCUAGGAAAGGGAAAUAAAUUUCUCUCAAAGCCUAUUUAAGUCCACCUUAAGUGGGUUAUUAAAUCAACUUUGGAGAGCGAUUUAUUCUACCCUACAGGAGAGAGAUAGCUUAGAGGAUAUUUGUUCCCCCUCCUCUAGCAAUCUUCUACAUCUUGCCCGUGCAAAGGACCGUAUUUCGUUGCUUUCUUCGUCUUCUUCGUGCCGCACCAAUGUAAGAAAAAUUUAAUUUUUCUUGCCUUAUUCUUGGAUAGUGCUAUUGCGGGGUGGUGCGGCACGUCGGCUGGCAGGGGCCAGAAGCUGGCUCGGCAUGAGCUGAGGAGAUAUCGUGGCAGGGACCACUGCUUGGGCAGCUUGGCUUGGCCUGAGCCAAGGGCAGCUUGUGCAGCUGGGGUCGAGGAUUGUGGCGCUAGGGCACAGUGUUAGGCGAGCUGCAUAGCUCAUGUCCUUUGGGCUCUUGGACCUGACUCGGGCCAGGCUGACGAUUGAGAGAAAUAAGGAGAUUGCGGGUCUCAUGGGCUGCUGGAAUGUUGGGCAUGUAUGCCUUCUGCCUGCUGGAAUGCUGGGUUGAGCUCCCCUGCUGAGUACCAUGAAUGUCGUUGGCUACUUAGUCUUCUUUGCUGAAAGAAAGGUGGGCUGCUCCAGAAAGAUGAGGUAAAGAGGAUCAAGGCGGAUGCACUGGCUCGUCUGAUCGCUGUCGUGGAGCUUACUAUGAAUGAAGAUGGAAAGAAGAGAUCUUCCCCGCCUGCUCAUGAGAUGCCUAGUUAAUAAAAAACUGAAGACUUCUUCUGCUGCUCAUGAAGGUCCGCUUGCUACCGAGAGGUAUGUGAUUGACAUAACUUCUUCUAAUGGGAAGAAAAUAAGGCUGCUAGAUCUGAGCAUGUGGCGUCUUCCAUGUUGAGAAUGGCUAGUACAAUUGUGGAUAAGAUUACUCAGCGUAAAGGUUUUAUCAUGCCCCCAGUGCCGAAGUCUGUAGGACGUUCUUUAGGAGCCAAGUCCGGUUCACCUUUGUAGAGACUUGCUAUUAUGAAGAGUGGUAAGGUGGACUCUGCUGCUAAAUUGGCGCCAAAGCCUGCUCCCUUUGCUGCUGAGAUUGAUUCGCCUCAGAUUCAAUAUCUUAAGCUUGCAAUUUCUGAGCUUCGUUUCGCUACUUAUGCUAAGAAGAUAGUGGAUGAGCUUCUCUAUUUCUCCGGAAGACUUGCUUGCUUUUACUUUUAAGGCUUCCAUUGGUGAAGUAGUUGGAGAAGUUAGUGCCCAGACUGGGGCAGCCGGGGGUGAAGCGUCGGAUGAUGCCGCUGCUAAGAGCGUUACGGCUGUUGAAGGUGUGGCGACCGAGUAGUCAUGGGAUGUCCAAGCUGCUGUAAUGUAGUAUUUUAGGUAGCCUUUAGGAUUUUCUUUGUUUUUCCUUGUAGCUUUUGUUUUGCUUGAAUUCCUUCGGCCUUUGCUAGUUGUUUAUAAACAUGUUUUCCUUCGUUUUUCUUCAUCUUCACUUCUUUUGUUCAUGCCUUUAGACUUGAUAGACCAGUGGCAGGCAUGCUACUUUUUUAUAAACAGACAAACUCGCGUAGCCUAUGCAGCCGUAGGUGUUGGUGUAGAACUUUGCAAAGUUGUUAGCCAUAGGGUUGGCAGCCGGAUGCCUUACUUACAGAAGCAGACAAGUCCGCGUAACCACUAGGCUGUUAACCUUGACUUUCUUCAAUUCCGUAGGUUGUGUAGCAAGUAUCACAACACUUUAGGACUUGGUGUAGGUUGUUCCGCGCUUGGCAGAGGUGAAGCUUAUCGACUACGUAGCAUGUCGGCAGUGGAUAAAACUUCGUAUAUGCGCGCUAGCUUGUUUAACCUUUCACAAGAAUGUGCGGUUGUAUAAGUCUAGUGCGGCUUCACUGCUCUAAGGGCAAGCCGUAGGCAGUCUUCCGGAAUCCGUAGGCUACCUUAGUGCACUCGGUAGCAGCUUUAGGAUUCCAGGGCAGCCGUCCAUUGGAUGUACGGCGUAAUGUGCCCUCUCCGUCUCUAGGGCUCGGUUCCCCACGGAUUAGGCCAAGAGACCCAAAAUCCUUGAGUUAGCUAAGCCUUGAAAAAGACCAUUGCGGCUACUUCAAGGAAUCCCGGCGCAAGCCAUCGUGCAUCUAGUUAUACUAGGGCAGCCAGGCUCAUCCACGUCUGGAUAUUCGGAGUGUAAAGUUUAUCCUCCCGUCUUGGAGAGCUGACCCAUAUGGGUGUCGGAGAAUUGGUUUACCCUCUCGCACUGGAGAGCAUGGUUGGUCCCUCGGGGGGCGCAAUUCCUGCGAUGAGUCCCUAAGAAGGGCGCAAUCUUCUUUUGAAGUGCAUGAGUGAUUAGUUGUUGUAAGCAUGCAGCCACGCCAAGUUGUGAUUACUUCUAAAUUCCUCAUUGAAAAACGAGUGAAACGAACGAGAACUUUAGCUGUAAGGUAGGGACUGCAUAACAACUGGAUAGUCCUCAGCUUGUGAGGUGGUGCCCGUCGAGCUUAUUGAGUCUUCGGGUUUUGAUGUAGCGGGAGGUCACACAUGGUACUUCUUCAGAUUGUAGGCCAUCUAUUUCUUUUCAAUCUUUUUGCCGCUUCAUGGUGGUGAGGGUGUAAUUACUCUUACUCCCUACUCUGCUGAUCUUGUACGGACCUUCCCAGAUGGGAUCCAUCUUUUUGGAGCCUUCUCUGCCGGCAGUGAUGAAGGCUUUUCUGCGUCGUCGACAUGCAAAUGCCAGAAGUCUCCAUCGGGUGGAGUAGGCGCAGCUAGAGUGUGCUCGGCUACUUCUGAGGCAUCGUUGGGCCGCUCUGUUGUGUCACCUAGGCUCGGCGUGAAGGCGCAGUAGGGAGCUGUGGAGAUGAGGCCAUGUCAUACGCAACAGGAAAUGCUCAACUGCCGGUAUUGGGCCACUCUAGAGUUGAAUCAUUGAGCAAGGGUCGGCUAGGGCCGUGUGAUGCGCAGCAAGAAAUGGUACUCAACUGCCGGUACAUGUUGCUCCUAUGUAGAAUCUUUUAGGGUGACGAGGACAAAACUUGCUUUCGAGUGUGUCCUUCCAGUGUUGUGUUUGUCAGAAAACUUUACAUCUGCCAAGGUCAACGCCUUUAUCGUCGCGCGUCUGGAUUGGGCAGAAUAGUACGUCAUUAAGAUGAUUGCAUGCGUUUGAAAGUAAAACUUGUGCUUCUGGGUUGCAACAACUAUCGCCAAAGUUAGCUUUUGAAUUUUUAAUAACAUCGAGGAGAGCUUUUGAACUGUAGAAUACAGGUAAUUGUGGAAUACAGGUAGUCGGGCCCCCAUCUCUUCUCGCAUGAUGGUAGAGCUUAUUGCUACUUUAGAUACCGUCAAACAUGUGAAUAAGUCAUCCGCUGCUUCUAGGGAGGUGAUGUUGGGUACUUCUUCAAGUCAUUGAAUGUGCAUUGGCGAGCCUCAUCCCAAAGUGCAUACUUCUCUGCCAAAGCAAAAGAGUCUGCCAGAGUUAGAUCUUUUUUCAUGAUCAAUUUUCCGAAUAGCGGGUGGUCUGCUGGAAGUCCUUUUUGGAAGGCUGCUCUAGCUAUAGAGUCGUUGCAUCCAACUAUUUUUGCCUUCUCUACUUUGAACCUCCUCACAUAGUCGCGAAGCGACUCCUUUGGGUUCUUCUUGACGUUGAACAAAUGAUCAGACUUCUUUUUGAUCGAGCGAUAGGAUGAAUAUUCUUUGGUGAAAACCAAAGAAAGUUCGUAGAAAUCCCGGAUGGAUUGUGGCGGUAAGGUGUAGAACCAAUCUUGCGCCUCGCCUUGUAGAGUGGUGGCGAAUAUCUUGCACAUGAGCUCAUCGUUGUUUCGAUAAAGGAUCAUUGCGCUUCGGUAGCGCUUUAAGUGUCUCUCCGGGUCUUCAUCCCCUUUGAAAUAUGUGAAAUGUGGCAUGCUGAACUCUCGUGGAGGCUCUGCCUGCUCGAUCUCGUCCGUGAAGGGUGACCUGCUUAUGUUGGUCAUGUUCCGUCGUAGUGCCUCGUCGGUGACCUCAUUGCGUUGGAAAUCAUGCAAUCGCUUGGUCAAGAGUCUCUCUACUUCUUCCUGAAUUUGCCUUUGUUGGGGUAGUGCAGCUCUCGGCUGCCCCCAGCCAUAACUUGCUGGUCUAGCUGCUUUUCCUGUUUUGGCUCGUCUAUGUGUUGGCUGGCGUCGUAUAUGCAUGAUGCAGUGCAUAUGGUGCAUUCCUGCAGCAGGCGAGCGAGUUCUUUGCAGGCUGCUGGUUGAACUUGAGCUGGAUUGAGUGACUGCUUCUUCUCUCCGUCCGUCGUGCUGCCUACUCUGAUGUGAGGUGGAUGAUGCUCCUUGUGGGCUUAGCCGCGAAUGAACACUUUGUCUGGAAGGUUGCUCAUGUUGACUACCAGAGUGUAACCCCAACCGUGAAUGUAUGCUCAUUCGUUGGCCUAGUCGAGAGUACACGCUCCUCCGCGCGCUAAAACGGGAGUAUACGCUAUCUCGGGGGCCCAAUCGGGAAUGUACACUGCCUGAACGUUCAGCUCGUGGCUGGUUGAAUGGCUGCUUGCUGGGAUGCUGCUGGAAAGGUUCGUCUGCCCUUGUCCUACUUCGGGAUACCUCGUCCGGGGCACGUUGGAUCCCGAUGCGUUGCAAAAGUUGAUUCACCAAAGUUGUCUGUUGUGCAAGGGGCGCUCGUCAACUCUAUGACUUACUUGUCGAGACAAGUGUUGUUCGCCAUUUGGAUUGGAAGAGCUUGGAAUGAAUGCGCCUCCUUGAGCAGUGGAAGGGUGGUAGACUCCGGGCGCGAGAUUUGAGUUGGGAAAUGUCAAAUCCGUGAAAAAAUGUGGUGAGAAUGCCCCCGGCUCGAUGGUAGGUCCAGAUGGUUGAGAUAGUUUUGGGCCGACUUGGGCUGCUUGGAAAGCCACGGGAGCAGUGUGGGCCUUGAGAGUGGGGCUGCUCGUCGGGAGUGGGCUGCUCGUUGGGAGCAGGCUGGGUCACGAGAGCAGGCUGCUUGGCAGGAGCAGGUUGCUUGGCCGGAGCAGGCUGGGCCACGGAAGCAGGCUGCUUGGCAGGAGCAGGUUGCUUGGCGGGAGCAGGCUGGGCCACGGAAGUAGGCUGCUUGGCAGGAGUGGGCUGGGCCACGGGAGUGGGCUGCUUGGCAGUAGCAGGCUGGGCCACGGGAGUGGGUUGCUCGACGGGAGCAGGCUGGAUCACGGGAGCAGGCUGCUCAAUGCGCGGUGCAUGUGAAUGCGAGGCUUGGGCUUGGGUCCACGUGAACUUGGAUGGCACGGCUUGGAUCGUGGUCUUGGUACCGUGAGCCUUGGAUGGCACGGCUCGGGCCGUGGUGAAGGCUCCAUGGACCUCGCCACGAGUGGCUACCGAAGUAGCCAUCGUGGUGGUUCCCAUGGUGGCGGUGGUGAAGGCAUCAUGGACCUCGCCGUGGGUGGCUACCGAGGUAGCCACCACGGUGGUUCCCAUGGUGGAAGCUCGUGGUGAUGAUGCCGCUCCCCUUAUUGUCGCAUUUUGCCUUACGGAUCUCCGGGUCGUGGUGAAGGCUCCAUGGACCUCGCCACGAGUGGCUACCGAAGUAGCCACCGCGGUGGUUCCCAUGGUGGCCGUGGUGAAGGCACCAUGGACCUCGCCGCGGGUAGCUACCGAAGUAGCCACCACGGUGGUUCCCAUGGUUGAAGCUCAUGAUGAUGAUGCCGCUCCCCUUAUUGUCGCAUUUAGCCUCACGGAUCUCCGCAAUCCCAUUUCUUGAACAUUAGAAUUUUCACUUGUGGAAUUUUCUAAAUUUCUAGCCAUUAUAUUUUGCUUAUACGUUUUAUCAAAGAACCUUUGCAAGUAAAAAAUUCUAAUAAUAAGAACGUAUGAAAAAUAUUCAAAUGGACUAGAAAAUAAAGAAAAAACCUUUUUUGUGCGAGAGUCUUCUACGAGUAUGGAUUUCAACUCUCAAUGAAAGCACCAAUUUGUGGAUGCAAAUUUUCUCCUCUUCGAUCUUGGACGAUUUUGCACCUACAAAACAACUAGCACCUUAGGUUAAGGCCAAAAGCCUCACGCGCCCACGAUGAAUGGGGGGGGCUUUGGCCGAAGAACCUCCGAUGCCAAAGUUAGAAUUUUAGAGAGAAAUAGUGUUUAGAGUGUUUUGGAAUUUUUGCAAGAGAUUUGGAAUGAGUGUUUGGUAAAAAUGGGUGACUAUUUAUAGGACCAAAUUGGUCCACAUCUUCAAGAAAUGGCCGGCCCUUUCUUUGUGCUUUGGGAUGAAUUUUGUGGUUUUAUUAGCCACUUUAUUGGCUAAUAAAAUAUAAUAGAAAUAAAUGGGAAGUUACCCAAUUGAAUGACUAGCAUUAUUUGGCUAAUAAAGUGGAAGAAAUUUGAAAAGGUGUGGAGCAAAGAGAGGGAAUGUGGCCGGUCUACUAGGUGGGAUUUUAGGGUUUAUUUUAGGUUUAAUUAGCCAAUUAAUUGGCUAAUUAAAUAUGAAAGGAAAUGUUUUAGUAUUUAUGGUAUUGAUUGGCUAAUUUAAAAGGGAAGGAAAGGUGGAAAAGGUAGAAAAAGGUGAUGGAAUAGGCUUUGAAUGGGGUAGCCGGCCCUAUAUCAUUUUUUAGGUUUGAGUGGAUGUUUCAAAUUGAUAAUUAAGGGAUGAUUUUAGGAGAUAUGGGAAGAAUAUAUUAUUUAGAUAAUUAAUUAACUAAAUAAUAUAUUAGGGAAAUUAAGUUUUGGAAAUAAUUACCUAAAAUAAGAUAAUUUGGAAUUGGUUACCUCUUUUGGAGCAUUUUUGAAUUGGUUGAGGAUGAUUACCCACUACUUGCGCGUAGGAAUCCCGGUAUGCCUCAAGGGUAAUUUUUGUCCUCUUUCAUUCAAAAGUCCACGUGUCGCCUAGCGAAUAUUUUUGGCUCCACAGUUGACAUCUUCACAAAGCCACUGCCAGUUGAAUUAUUUCGGUUGCUGCGUGAAAUGCUAGGCAUGAAGGUAUUUUGAUUUGAGGGGGCGUGUUGGAAGUUCAAAUCAAAUACAGUAGCCGAAACUAGUGGAACACUUUUCAGAAAUUGUUGGAACACUUUUCAGAAAGUGGUGAAACUAUUUUUAGAAAAGUUGCAUGUGUGUGUGUAUUUUUUUAUUAAAAAGCACUUGAGUGGUUUGUAACUUUUGCAUGUAUAAUUAAGCCUCUUGUAAGGCUUUAGAAAAAUUCAUCCGAAUUCCCAUUCCAUCAGAAUCCCAUUUCCAUUUUAGCUUGUAAGCAAUUGAGUUUGUAAACUCUUAUUAAAUAUAUCAAAGUGUUUGCUUGUUUGCCGUGCAGUUUGUCCAAUACAAAAAGUUUGCUUCUUCAUUUAUUUUUUUCUUUGUUCAAUUGUAUUGAGAGUGAUAGUGAGAGGUGUGAUAAAGUUAGAAAACUUAUCACCCAAAUAUUUUUGGUAUUGAGUUAGUAAACUUUGAAAUACUAACAUGCCAGAGGCAUUUAUAGGAGUUACUAAAGUUACUCAAUUACCAGUUCUUUACAAAAAGCCUUCUUCAACCGCCAAAUUCUUGAGCUUUCAUCCCACCAGAGAUUGGUGGCUUCAGCUUCAUUGUCGCUCAGACUGGUGACCCAUUGGUGUCGGGUACGGUUUAUUUUGUUUGUCUUUUUUCCCGGAUUUAAUUUGAUGUAUUGUAUUAUUUAUCUGAUGACAAUGCUCCACUAGCUUCGAAUUUUGUGCUACACGUUAACACCCUUUGAUCAUCCAAGGGCUCUCAAUAGAGUUGGGGCGGCGGGAUCCGGAUCUGAGAUGGUUGAACACUCUAUAGCCAGUUAAUACUUUUGCCCACCAAUCCGCUCGGUUGUGUUCGUAACAUCUGUGUUGUGACGUUUCUUCAUCUCUCUUACUUGAGAUUCUUUAAAUUUUUUGUUCAAAUGUUAUGCAAUUGAUCGCUGGGCAUUUGAAGACGAACAGGGAGGAAAAAUUGGAUAAUUAUCCUCCUAAACUAAGCGGUUAUAAUUAUAAAACGUUGAAAAAAAAAUUGGAGCUCAAAUUUGAAACUGCAAUGAGCAGUUGCAAUUGGUUUUUUUCCUCUCCCGCAAAAACUAAAUUGUCUUCACUCUUAGGUAUGUUAUGUUGAUGUUUGAUUUAUUUUUAAUUUCCUUUUUUAUCAUUAGCUCCAUAUUUGAUCAAAUACUAGCCUCUCCGCACGCACAUGUGCGUGUGAGAGGCCUUUUUUCAAUCAUGUGUGCUACACGCCCCUAUAUGUGUCUUGCAUUAGUUUUUUUCAUUGUAAUUGUCAAAAUGGCUCACUAAACAAAUUGAAAACAACUAACGCACGACAUCUUUAAUAUAUGAGUUGUGGUUUCAUUCUUUUGGUUAACUUCGUUUAAUUCUUUUUUCCUCCUGUCCAUGAAUUAAUUUUAAUUAAUUUAGUACAAAUGUUCAUUUUUUGUUUCUAGGAAAUUAAAAGUUUGAACCUUUUUUAUUUGUGUAAUCAGUUUUGAAGUUUGUUUCACAGGGAAAAUAUGGAAGAAGGAAGAGAAAUAGCGGAAGAAGAGGGAACAAAGAUAGUUUAUCAUACUCAAGAGUGCAGGUAGUAUUCUGUGAUUUGGCAUAAUUUUGUAUAUAAUUGAUUUUUCUUCUCUAAUAAUCUUCCCCUAUUUCCUUUUGUUCUGUGUAUAAUAGAUCGUCUAAAAUUUACAAGUUCAUGGCUCAUUCAGGCUACAAAAGAUUUGAUUACUUUCUUUUUAGGAAUAUGAACUGGAACAACUUCAAAGUUCGGGUGUAAUUAUUUGUCUUAUCAAGUAAUUUACUGUAUCUUAUCCGUUUUUGUUUUUCAUGCAUGUGAUUGUAUUUUUGAUUGGAAGGUUAUAAAAAUGAACACCUUUUACAGUGCUCCAAAUUAAAUACGAUAGAUAUACAUGUUUUUGCACGAAUUAAAACAACAUUAUUACUACAUUAUGUAUUCAAUUUUAAAUUAAGGUACGGUAUCUAUACCAAAUAAAAUAGGGUUGGCAUAUUAAGAGAACAACCUCCAUUUGCACUUUUAAUAGAAAAAGGCUCGGGUUCGAUUGUAAAAACAAAAGCAAAAUUGUUACACCCUUUUUUCUUAAGAAUAAAAACAUGAUUAGGCGAUCUACUAAUAAAGAGAUUGGAAACUAAUGUAAUAAACUUUCAUCUUCUAUAGGAAAAUAUAAACAAGUUAAGCAUGACUAAUUAAGAAAACACCAUUUGCAAACACAUAAAAAUUCGUCAAUCAACUCUCAAUGAAUAAGAAUGUCGAUAGACAAAUGAACACCUAAUACCUCCUAAAAAAGGCUGCUUUAAUCAUCUCACACGCAACUGUUGUUUCACUAUUGCAUGAAAACAAUUGACGCAAGAUAUAAUUAAAACCGCGUAGCGCCGGUAAUUAAAAAAAUGCCUCUAGCUUGACCAUGAUAAAAGAGAUCAUGAUUUAGUAAUGGCAUCAUCACGUUAUAAGUAGACUUUAUUUUUUGUAUGUACAUAUUGUGCAUUGUUUUGUUUUGAAUCAAUGUAUCAAAACAUACCAUCAUUUGAUCAUGAUAUAUAGCUUGAAAAAUGUGACAUAAGCAGUACAAUUAAACAUUAAUGCCAUUUUCGUUUACAUAGUUAUCAAACAAAUUUUUUGCGCCCUUAAAGAUGUCGUGUGUUAGUCGUUUUCAAUUGACAAUUACAAUGAAAAAAACUAAUGCAAGACACAUAUAGGGACGUGUAGCGCACAUGAUUGAAAAAAGGCCUCUCACAUGCACGUGUGCGUGCGGAGAGGCUAGUAUUUGAUCAAAUCUGGAGCUAAUGAUAAAAAAGGAAAUUAAAAAUAAAUCAAACAUCAAAGUAACAUACCUGAGAGUGAAGACGAUUUAGUUUUUGCCGGAGAGGAAAAAAACCAAUUGCAACUGCUAAUUGCAGUUUCAAAUUUGAGCUCCAAUUUUUUUUCAACGUUUUAUAAUUAUAACCGCUUAGUUUAGGAGGAUAAUUAUCCAACUUUUCCUCCCUGUUCGUCUUCAAAUGCCCAGCGAUCAAUUGCAUAAAAUUUGAACAAAAAAUUCAAAGAAUCUCAAGUAAGAGAGAUGAAGAACCGUCACAACCCAGAUGUUACGAACACAACUGAGCGGAUUGGUGGGCAAAAGUAUUAACUGGCUAUAGAGUGUUCAACCAUCUCAGAUCCGGAUCCCGCCGCACCAACUCUAUUGAGAGCCCUUGGAUGAUCAAAGGGUGUUAACGUGUAGCACAAAAUUCGAAGCUAGUGGAGCAUCGUCAUCAGAUAAAUAAUACAAUACAUCAAAUUAAAUCCGGGAAAAAAAGACAAACAAAAUAAACCGUAUGCGACACCAAUGGGUCACCAGUCUGAGCGACAAUGAAGCUGAAGCCACCAAUCUCUGGUGGGAUUAAAGCUCAAGAAUUUGGCGGUUGAAGAAGGCUUUUUGUAAAGAACUGGUAAUUGAGUAACUUUAGUAACUCCUAUAAAUGCCUCUGGCAUUCCAGAAUGGCAAAAAUUAAGCAGAAACUGAAUAACCAAUACACAAAAGAGAGAGCUUUCUACAAAUUGGUCCAAAACCCAUUAACAAAAUCUGGUAAAGAUAAAUAAUUUCAAAUAGUUCAAAUUAUAAUCAAGUAAAAAUUUCCAAAUUAGUAUAUAUUAAAGUGGGCAAUUAGUUAAUAAAUCAAAACAUUAGUAGAUAUGAACAAUUCAAUUAGGCAUAGAGUACCUGAAUUGAAGCAGAAAGUCAAAAUUUCUGGCGAAAACCCAUUUCAAAAUUUUGGCAUAGAUAAGAAUAUUGUUCGAGAAAAUUACCCAAUUUACUCUUUUGUAUGCACUGUGGUGAUCGAGAACGUGCGAUGGAGGUAGGACAAUGUAGAAUAAGAUUAUACUUAUUUUGAAGCCCAAUGGUUGCUGGAGAUGGCCGGAAAAUAGCCUCAAAGUUGACUGGUCUGAGUGAAAACUUGAAAACUCGCCAGAAACUAGGUAAACUUUAAAGGUUCAUAACUUCUUCAAUACUCAACGAAAUCAAGUGAUUCAAAAAACGAAAAUCAUACUUCUCGACGAGACAAAAAGAAUGGUACAUUUUUCAAUGGCUAACUCGCCGUUGUUUGGCCGGAAAAUGGCUCGAAAGUGGCUGUCUUGGUCUCAAGUUAGCCACUUUUGAGCCAUUUUCCGGCCAAACCACGGCGAUCUAGCAGUAUAAAAAGGUACCAUUCUCUUUGUCUCGCUGAGAAGUAUGAGUUUUGUUUUUGAAUGACUUGAUUUCAUUGAGUAUUGAAGAAGUUAUGAACGUUUAAAGUUUACCCAAUUUCCAACGAAUUUUCUAGUUUUCGCUCAAACAAGUCAACUUUGAGGCUAUUUUCCAGCCAUCUCCGGUAACCAUUGGGCUUUGAAAUAGGUAUAAUCUUAUUCUAAACUUUCCUAUCUUCAUUUUGAUAUAUUAUGGGUCGAAUUUGGUUAAGAAACGAUUGAGUUACGAAUCUUUGAAAAUUGCCCAAACUUCCGGCCAAGAGCUCCGGAACACUUAACGGAGUUUUUAACGGAAUGAUCAAAAUGAUGGAUGGUGGACAAUCUCAGGGUCCACUUUUAUCGAUUUGGAAUCUCAGAGACCAAAGUGAUGAGUUUUACAAAUCUUAGGGACCAUUUUGAUGAUUUACCAUAAAACAUUUACACAAAAUCCAACAUGCUUGACUUAAAAUAGAUAGAGAUUUAUAAAUAGAUAUAACCCACAAUAGUUCAUGGUUUUCUUUUAUCAGAAAAUAAGAAUAUUUUAAACACAUUACAUAAACCACUCACCUUAAUAAUCCAAGCUUUGACAAGACAACCCAAUUAACAUCUCCGCACACCUCAAACCCUAGCUUUCCCUUUCUCUUUUCUUUUCUAAUCUCUCUCUAAACAUAUAUAAUAUUUAUAUACACACACAUACAUAUAUAUAUAUAUAUAUACACAUACACAUAUAUACACACACACACACACACAUAUAUAUAUAUAUAUAUAUAUAUAUAUAUGUAUAUAUAUAUACAUCAUCUCUACGUAGUGCAUGCAUUGCAUGCUUCUGUGGUUUCAAAAGAAUGGAGCCUUUGCUCCUAUUUAUAGGGGAUUGGAGUCGGCUAUAAUUAAUGUUAAAUGCAUGACUAAGCCUUUCAAUGAAGUGGUGGCAAUAGAAUGUAAGAAAUCAUCUAGGAUAUUGACAGCUACAUGGAAGACGUGUUCAACUUAAGUUGGAGGUGUCAUGAACAUGGGCUGCCAAGUAUAAGAAUCAUCAAAUUGUAGGUGCAGGUGUCAAAUACAGGGAUUAAGCAUAUGCAACACGUUUAAGUUAAUAGCUGCAUACGAUCAUCACAAUAGAGUGCAUAAUAAGCACUCGUAAUGAUUGCUAAAGGAUGAAAUGGAAGGUGGUGCUGUCAGUUUGCAUGAAGCGAGAAGAGCAGGUGCUACAUUCGUAGGAAUGCUUGAGGUAGAUUGACAGGUGGUAUAGUAAAAAUGAAUGGGUGGGAUCUAGUGAGUCUAUUCUUGUCACGCCCCGAUCCUGACAUACAUCCAGGAUUGACACAUGACGUCACCAAGUAUAUGUAUAUCUAACAUACCCCGCCUCCAGAAUAUGUACCAAGCACGCUCAAGCCUCAAAUUGAGUAGUGAUUUUUCGUAUACUUUAUGACUGCAUCUAACCUCCUCGUUAGACUGCCUACGUACCCUCAUUAGAAAUCAAGUCAUUCGUAGUUCGUCGUUCACUAAUUUAGACAAUUAUUAUAGAGCGUUCUAACAAGAAUACAUAACAUUCUGUAAUCAAUUAUUAGAACUUGACAUGCAUGACAUUACCAAGUUCAGGGCUACAAAACAAACCAAUAUGCCGCUCAAGAUUCUGAUUCCAUCCAUCAUAUAAAUUCCAUGAUUUCAGUACGAUACUUCCAUCCACAACAUGUAACAUAUCAAAUAAGCAACGAAGCACAUACUAUUCUCAAGCCACAUUGGUCAACUAAAAUAAUUAGAAUAAUAACAACCAUAACCAAGGUCAUUCCACAAUCCCGUCAAUCAAUCAAUUCAUGAAUCAAAGAUACAUGAUCUUAGCAUUUAAUUAUGUUAAUCAAUGAAUGCAGUAACAUAUCAUUUCACGAAUUUAACCGAGGAAUUCUAUAUAAUUCCCUACUUGGAUUAUGAAUAAAAACAUGGUAAUUCUCAUUUGUAUUCACAAGAUCUAUUGUGGGUAAUUCUUAUUCACUCGAAUCAAGGAUUCUAAGAUAACCUUAUGGAAAUGAACAAGAGCAAGGAUUCCAGACGACUCAACUGAAUCCAACAACAUCGGGUUCCGGACGACUCAACGGAACCAAAAUGUCACACGGUUUCUCGUAAUCCACCUAGACCUGUCACAUGUAAAAUCAAUGCCUACAUUAUGGGAAUGGUACACUGGGCAAAUCAGGCACUCAGAUAAGCUGCAAGGUUCGGGUGAGUGACAAUAAUACAAGUAUGUGAUAUUCAAUAAAAACAGACCAUCGAUCACAAUGUAUAAACAUCAAGCAUAUAAUCAUGCUUUAUGAAAUCAUAAUCAAGUAGCUGAAAACUCCGUAGGAGUCACCCAGACAUCCAACGCUUUUUCUAAUUCAGGCCACAGGAUUCCCAAAAACCAUCAUUCAUAUGCGCAUUAAAACUAGGGCUAGAGGGACGCAGUUUGGCCGAAGCCUACAUAUAUGUAACCAAACAGGAAGUGACCCCCUAUCACGGAUUAACCAAGCAGAACCACCCCUGCAAUAACCAAGUAGACAGUGACCCUCUAUCGUGGAUUAACCAAGCAUAGUCACUCCUACGCAUCUGUUAAGCAGUGAUCACCUAUCGCGGAUUAACCAAGCAUGAUCACCCCUAAGUGUGUGUGUAUGGCCAUACCAAAGAUAUAAGGAUCGCCUAUCGUGGAUUAACCAAGCACGAUCCAUAGAAAAUAUGGUCCUGUAUCGUAGAUUAACAAGACCAUGGUCCCCUAUCGCGGAUUAACCAAGCAGAGUCACACCUACAAAACUGUUAGGCAGUGAUCACCUAUCGUGGAUUAACCAAGCAUAAUCACUCCUAAGUAUGUAUGGCCAUAAGGAUCGCCUAUCGCGGAUUAACCAAGCACGAUCCAUAAAUACUAUGGUCCCCUAUCACGGAUAUACCAAGUAGGACCAUUCAUAUACAUCUACUACAUGGUGCAGUCAAUUCAACACACAAUCUACCCUUACUUCAACCCCUAUGAUUUACAAUAUAGGCACAUGCUCAAUCAACUUCUCAUGGCCACUAGCAUACAUAUCAUGCAAGCAUAUAAAUUCUAUGGAAUACUUCUAAUAGGAUUCUAGGAUCACAUGGUCAUAACCUUUAUCAUUCAUAUCAUUCAUAUUAUCAAGAAAAUAACUAAACACACACACACACACAACACACACAUAUAUAUAUAUAUAACAAUAUGACUCCCAUACGCAUAAACCGAUGUAUAUAUUAUCUGGGAUAACUUACUAACCAAUAUAGGCCCACUAAGCCCUACAUAGUCUCUAGUAAUAUUGAAUUUAAUAUCUAAGAUCAAUUUGUAACAUAUUGACUAUAAGUAAGCAGUAAUUAGAUUAAAACAUAUAAGGUUUCCUAGAACCCCCUACCUUGAAUUCGAUUAAUUUUGUUCCUUUGAAGAACCUAAUCGGAACAUAAAAUUACAAUCAAAAGUAUAAAUACAAGUAACACACCUUAAUAACCAAACUAAGUGUUUAAACACAAAAUUAAUAUUAUUUAAAGAAAGUACAUUGAUUCUGGAAUCUACCACUCAAAUAAUAUCACUCAAAUAGCAAUAAAGAAGAUUAGAAAGGAAUCUGGAAAAGAAAAUAGGUGUGGCAAAAACAAUACUAUGCUUCUCUACAAAAUCUGCAGAAAACAACACUAUUGGACCAAGUUUAGGCUCGCUUUGGAACAUCCAAAACUAAACCAAAUCAUGUAAUAUUAUAUGGGUUUUGAAGCUUGUGUUAUGUACUUUAAAAGAAUACAAAGUUUGUA